Carassius gibelio (silver crucian carp) is the source of this 2142-nucleotide long non-coding RNA. RefSeq lists it as uncharacterized. Lineage: Eukaryota; Metazoa; Chordata; Actinopteri; Cypriniformes; Cyprinidae. The transcript has 2 exons. The record is from RefSeq and is a predicted model, not a curated record.
AUAUAUAUAUAUAAUUAUCAUAAACUGCAUUUGCUUUGACUUAUACUACCACGGUUUAUUCUUAUAGUGGUACUUUAUAAUUGUUGUCACAUUACGGUUAUGAGAUUUAGAACUUGCAAAAAUAUUUUUUCUUUGUACAUAAAAUAAAAUGUUGUGUUUUUAUUUUUAUUCAUUUUUUACUUGGGGUAACAUAUGACUUGGACAAGUUUUUUUUUGAGAUUCACCCUAAUUGGCCUGAUUUUUCCUUGAAGAUAACACUAAAUACAAAUAUACAUAUAUAGGUUUUUAUUUUUUUUUUAUUUUUUUGUUAAUUUUGUGCAGCUGUAUUAACAGAACUGAGUCAGUAUACCCUUCAUUUGGGAGCUCUUCCAGCAUGCUCCGUGCGUCCAGCUGAAGGCUGCAGUGUCAUAGAGCCAGGGCCAAAAUCUGUCAGGGAAACAGAGACUAGCACAAGACAUAACGGUGGCAUGUUUUAUGAAGUACCGUCAGUAUGUUUUUGAUUUAGUGAAACGAGUGCUAAUGGAUGCAGUCAGUGGUUUAUCUCUCUUUAGCUUCGUCUGUCUGUUGGAGGAAACUCUUCUUAUACUCUGCAGUUGUGUCCAGUACACAGCGGCAGCCAAGGAUCAUUUGAUUGGAUUUAACACUCAUGUGACAGCAUGAUUAACCAAUCAGAAGUGCAAUGUGCCAAACACCCACAGGCUGUGAAGACAGAAGCUGCUCGUGUGCCGUCUGAACCCUGGGGGAUGGAGGAUAAUGUGUGUGACUAAACCACUUUCUCUCAUCUCAACCUGUUGAUCAGUUUGUGUGGUGACUUCACUAGAUGAACUGACGAGUGAGUGGACCCUGACGUGUGUGUGUGUGUGUGUGUGUGUUUCCCCUGUCCAUGAAGCAUAAUUCACCUCUGCAGAGGUCCGAUCUCUGGCAAACCAGUUUGAUCUUCAGUGGAGAUGUGAUGGGAGUUAGCCAACAUGUUUGUCAGUGAAAGUAUAAUCCUAUAAUUAUAUGAAUUAAUUAAAAGCGAUGAUUUUAUAAAAUAAUUUCAAAAAUAAAGUUCUACAAAAAACACUGGCUCUGGUGUUUGAGUUUGGGAUAAAUCAUGAGCUGGAUCACUACAGCUCGGGAACUGUCAGGAUGUACAAGAACAAAAAUGUUAGAGACAAACUGCAUGUACACGCAUGAAGCAAUGCACUGCAAGUGACAUGUUUUAGGUUACUUUUGUAUAUUCUACAAAACUACAAAUAUUUUAGUUACUUAAAUACACACAGAGACACACUAAUAUAAAAAUAUUGGACAGCAGAAACAGUGAUCCAGGAAACUGUUCAUCUGUCAGAGUGAGACUGACUAAACCGCUGCUCGCUCGACCAAGAAGUUAUUUUAGAUUUUCCUGUUACAGAACACAAGAAGGGUCAGAUCUGCGAGGUCCUGCAAACUGAGGUAAGAACAUCUCUAUUACCUUUCAAAAAUAAUAAGGCUGAAAUGGUAACAUUACUUGGUUUAAAAAGUUUAAGAACCACUGGUUUAAAGAAAUGGUAUACAAUGAAAUCCUGUUUUUAACCCUUUCCUCUUUCUUCUUGUAGAGUCAAAGGAUCCAGCUUAUUGUUGGCUCAUUGGACCGUACAGAAAGCGCACACGUUGGAGAGAGUGGAUGGGACGGGUCAGAAAGGACCUAGAGCUGGGACUCUUCAAGGGUCCCCCUCGGUACAAAUCACAUUCCGUGUUCCCCACGGUAAAAAAAGACUCCAGUCCGGGCAGUUCCCCCUCGGGGCCCCCUCUGAUGCCGGAGCCCCACGUCACCCCCUCACUGCACCCCAGUUUCCAUCCUCAAACUGUUCAACAGUUUUCACUGCACAGAUGUACACAUCUCUUGUAUGAGACACAGAAGGAAAACAUGUUUUCAUAGAAACGAUAGUCUUCUAAAUAAAAGAUCAAAUGAUUUCUGUCAUAAAAGUGCAAGGGUUUCUCUUGCAAGUUCAGCACAAAAAGUAUAUUAUUUUACAAAAACCUAUCAAUACUGUUGUAUUUGGAUUGUUCUUCUACAGGUUUUUAACAAUACAUCCAUGCACAAACACUGAAAGUUAAAGUUUGGGAUUAUUUUCAUCUGUUUGAGACAGUAUGUUUCCAAAAUAAAACUGCUGUUUUACA